AGCGCAGGCGGUUUCUUAAGUCUGAUGUGAAAGCCUUCGGCUCAACCGAAGAAGUGCAUCGGAAACUGGGAAACUUGAGUGCAGAAGAGGACAGUGGAACUCCAUGUGUAGCGGUGAAAUGCGUAGAUAUAUGGAAGAACACCAGUGGCGAAGGCGGCUGUCUGGUCUGUAACUGACGCUGAGGCUCGAAAGCAUGGGUAGCGAACA
This 207-nucleotide ribosomal RNA is filed under the name uncultured bacterium. Its description in RNAcentral is "partial 16S ribosomal RNA". It matches the Rfam family "Bacterial small subunit ribosomal RNA", at positions 568 to 774 of the family's 1533-position model. The record is from RNAcentral.